GAUGAAGAACGUAGCGAAAUGCGAUAAGUAGUGUGAAUUGCAGAAUUCAGUGAAUCAUCGAAUCUUUGAACGCACAUUGCGCCUCCUGGUAUUCCGGGAGGCAUGCCUGUUCGAGCGUCAUUAAAAUCACUCAAGCUUAGGUUUACCUAUUGCUUGGUCUUGGAGAUGGAAGCCAAUUUAUCGGAAUCCUCUUCGAAAUUCAAUGGCGAAGACCCUUGCUCUCCCAAGUGUAGUAAUAACUUAUGUCACUGAAGGAAGCGAGAAAUCUUCUGCCGUAACCCCCAUAUUUUCUAUGAUUGACCUCGGAUCAGGUAGGGAUACCCGCUGAACUUAAGCAUAUCAAUAAGCGGAGGA
RNAcentral lists this unclassified non-coding RNA (354 nucleotides) under soil metagenome. RNAcentral describes it as "partial contains 5.8S ribosomal RNA, internal transcribed spacer 2, and large subunit ribosomal RNA". The stretch from base 1 to 120 matches the Rfam family "5.8S ribosomal RNA", at positions 35 to 154 of the family's 154-position model. The record is from RNAcentral.